GUGUCAGCAGCCGCGGUAAUACGAACUGUGCGAACGUUAUUCGGAAUCACUGGGCUUAAAGGGUGCGUAGGCGGCGUGCUAAGUCAGGUGUGAAAGCCCCCGGCUCAACCGGGGAACAGCGCUUGAAACUAGCAGGCUUGAGUGAGGCAGGGGUGUACGGAACUUCCAGUGGAGCGGUGAAAUGUGUAGAUAUUGGAAGGAACGCCGGCGGCGAAAGCGGUACACUGGGCCUUGUCUGACGCUGAGGCACGAAAGCUAGGGGAGUGAACGGGAUUAGAUACCCCGGUAAUCCUAGCCGUAAACACUGAGCACUGGAGGGGGGCGGUUUCGGCCUUCCCCCUCGUAGCGAAAGCGUUAAGUGCUCCGCCUGGGGAGUAUGGUCGCAAGGCUGAAACUCAAAUGAAUUGACGG
This 411-nucleotide ribosomal RNA is filed under the name uncultured bacterium. Its description in RNAcentral is "bacterial SSU rRNA". It matches the Rfam family "Bacterial small subunit ribosomal RNA", at positions 505 to 916 of the family's 1533-position model. The record is from RNAcentral.